This 1221-nucleotide long non-coding RNA is filed under the name Arabidopsis thaliana (thale cress). RNAcentral describes it as "potential natural antisense gene, locus overlaps with AT2G04850 (AT2G04852)". Lineage: Eukaryota; Viridiplantae; Streptophyta; Magnoliopsida; Brassicales; Brassicaceae. The record is from RNAcentral.
GUGACCAAGGCGCUCCAGUUAGUGUCCUACUGUCCUUGAGCAUAAUGUGAGUUUUCUUACUGUCCUCUUGAGUUCUUAUCUUCGAAGCUUGAAUUGUAUGUAUUCUAAAAGACCUCAAGCAUUGACAAAAGCAAGUAUAUGUUAGCCCUUUAAAGAUAUUAGAAUGAUUUUUCAUGUUCUAGUUUUGUUUUCCUGGCUAGAAAAAACAUUGUUGCAACUGGUGAAGAACUCUCUCAGCAUAUGCAGACUCAAAAAUGUUGUAUUUGCAUAUCUGUUGGGUUCAACAUUCGAAUUUGAUGGCUAGGUUAGUUACAUAGGUCAUUCUCAGAAUGUUGCAUUCAUAUUUAGUUUUAUGGUUGCCAUUUAUUUGACAUCAGUCUCUCUAUUGUGACACUAAUGGGCUUGGAGUUUCUUGAGUUGUCAUGAAUUUUCUUUAUCAGUCAAUAAGGUAGUAGUAGGUAAUACUGAUAUUAAGCACAAUCUUCAUGACUCAGCCGCUUAGUACAUGCUUUUGAGUGUUUAUUCUGAAUCCAAAUGAUCUUUCUCAAGUUCAAACAAUAUUUAUGCCGAUUUCCUGACGUCAUUUGUUUAGAUCAUUGUCUUGAUGUUUUUGUUGUAGUUAUCUUAAAAUGUGUUCAUGUAAAUCUUUCGAAUUGCCAUUUCAAAGGGGAUGGUUAUCUGUAUUAAUUGGCUGAUAUCUCCUUCGUCUGAGCUCUACAUAUGAUGCAAAUGAUGGAUCCACAACUUUAGGACCCAAGACCUAACUAUGACUCCCACUGCAUCUAUCGACACCGGUCAAACCAUCUCUCUUCAUCUUCUCCUCUUUAGCCUUUCGACAAAACACAACCCACGAGUUAACUUCCAUGGCCACGCAGACACCAACCAGCGUCGACAGACAUAGACAGUAACCGAGCUUUGCGUACGACCUUCCUUCCCUUAAAACCUCAAACCCUUGGAACACAUUCACCACGCCCAUCACCACACACGCGUACCCGACAAAAUGAUGGUAAGACUUCCAGUACCUCCGGAACUUAUUGGUCGUCUUUGGUCUGAACAGCAAAGCCAGUGUUUGCAGCGCCGCUGCUGUGAAAGUAGCUAUCCCGAGGCUCCGAUGUAACCCAUAGGUCACUCCAGGGGAAUUAUGGCCGAGCACGAUUCCAAUGGAGAAGCCAAUGGUUCCUAGGAGGAAACCGGUUAGCUGUAUUGCUGCGUGGAUGUAGA